GACGAACGCUGGCGGCGUGCUUAACACAUGCAAGUCGAACGGAAAGGCCCUGCUUUUGUGGGGUGCUCGAGUGGCGAACGGGUGAGUAACACGUGAGUAACCUGCCCUUGACUUUGGGAUAACUUCAGGAAACUGGGGCUAAUACCGGAUAGGAGCUCCUGCUGCAUGGUGGGGGUUGGAAAGUUUCGGCGGUUGGGGAUGGACUCGCGGCUUAUCAGCUUGUUGGUGGGGUAGUGGCUUACCAAGGCUUUGACGGGUAGCCGGCCUGAGAGGGUGACCGGCCACAUUGGGACUGAGAUACGGCCCAGACUCCUACGGGAGGCAGCAGUGGGGAAUAUUGCGCAAUGGGCGGAAGCCUGAUGCAGCAACGCCGCGUGCGGGAUGACGGCCUUCGGGUUGUAAACCGCUUUCGCCUGUGACGAAGCGUGAGUGACGGUAAUGAGUAAAGAAGCACCGGCUAACUACGUG
Molecule: ribosomal RNA, 468 nt
Filed under: uncultured bacterium
Lineage: Bacteria
Description: partial 16S ribosomal RNA
Rfam family: Bacterial small subunit ribosomal RNA
Source: RNAcentral